CGGGUGAGUCGGCCUCGCCAGUGCGCAUGCGCGAGGCCGGAGCCGCCGCUUUGGUCACAGUGACCGCCACCAUUGCCCGGGGAUGGGUCCCUGAGACUUGGCGAAGUAGGAGCCCUGUGUGAUCGUGCGUCAGAGUCGGGGCUGAGACCAGCCCUGGCCAGGGCAGUUACCAGGACGGUCUCCGGAGGCCGAGAUUCGCGGAGGGUCCACCAGUAGGAAGAAACCCCAGGAGGAAGAAACCUCAGACAGAUCGCCGGGGAGGCAGCGCGGGAUCCCAGCCUCAGGCGUGCGCGGACGGUGUGCGGGUGAAUCUCCCCAAAAGUGGCGCCCUUGUGAUGUCGAGGACAGGUCUCCCUGUGUGCCCGUGGGCUGCUGUCUCACCGGUGGCUCGUCGUCGCGGAGAGCAGAACCCGGCAGCUUCAGGGGCUGCCUGGGGGUGGGUGUUACCUGCUGUAUGUCUGUGUGCGUUAUGGGUGUGUGUGUGUGUGUCUGUGUGUCUGUGUGUGUGCGCGCGCACGCGCGUCUGUGUGCCCACUACUGUCUCUUACGUCUCUGUCU
Molecule: long non-coding RNA, 558 nt
Filed under: Homo sapiens (human)
Lineage: Eukaryota; Metazoa; Chordata; Mammalia; Primates; Hominidae
Description: HSALNT0149577
Source: RNAcentral